Spea bombifrons (plains spadefoot toad) is the source of this 2062-nucleotide long non-coding RNA. RefSeq lists it as uncharacterized. The transcript has 2 exons. NCBI's taxonomy places the organism in Eukaryota, Metazoa, Chordata, Amphibia, Anura, Pelobatidae. The record is from RefSeq and is a predicted model, not a curated record.
AACUAUGGUUCUUAAACUUGGUGCCUGUCUGCCAUACUGUGAUGUUUUACAUUGAUCACUCUGAGGUUGGUACCCCCUUAUUCUGUCUUCAUUUUGGCUCCUAAACCCCUCACAUAUUUGUUCAGCCCUUGGUUAUACCCUAUAGGAGUAAUCAAUUUAAACACUUUUCUGUACAAAAACAUGUUGCUAGUAUAUGGAAUAAUUUGUAUAAAAUGUGUUAUAUAACAAGUUCUUUACAAAGGAGACUAUACUCAAGAUAUAUAAUAAACGUGACCUAAUUUCACAUACUUUAUGAAAUCCAUGAAAGGAAUAUACUAAAAGGACAUGGGUUGUAAUUUACAGGGAAUACAGCAUUAUUUGGUUUACAUUACCCUCCUGCCAUUGAUGAUUUACUAAUAUCUCAGGUACAGGAAAUUUCUGCCAUCCACGCUGUGGUUUCUGAUUGAUCAGUGACCUUUGGGGUAUCAAGCAUUACCUUUCUUUACAAAAUAAAGCACUGAUCCCAAUAAAACGUAUUCCCUUACUAUUCUGUAAAAUGAAAGAUCACUAUAGCUGCCCGGUCAGUAGGCAGUGUCCACUCCUGUCCUCUUAUUAUAUACACAAAAGCACUUACUUAGGUACUAAGCACAGAAAUGACACCUCUUCCCCCAGCAAUGGAAGUGGUUUGGCUAAUUAAGGUGAGAAGUAAAUUGUGAACUCUUAAACUUAUCUGCCAAAAACAAAUUACUUAAUGAAGGUUAACUUCUUACUGUUUUAACAGUUUUAUAUGUGUUUGGGUUUAUUCACUAAAAAGGGAGUUGGAGAGUUUUAGUUUCAUCUCCCUGACCAUACUAUGAAGAGCCAACCCCAGUGAGCUUCUGCUUCAAUAUGCUGCAUGGCACUGUACAAGGCAUAUUGAAAUCUGUUAGAUUUCAUUAAUAAUUCACCUAAUUGAACUCUGCAUCUUCUUGCCCAAAAGGCCAGUUGAUGACCCUUUAAAAUAAACAAUUAAUGUAGUGGAAACUACAGUUUCCCAGCCAAUUUUCCUGCCCACUCAAGCUUGUGUACCCCAUUAAGUACCGUUAAAUUAACCCCAUUGCACAGAAAGCAUAGAUCUGUGAAUUUCUGAAAGUCGUUGCCCCUCCCAACUAAAUAUGUUACCCAGCAUGAUGCAUAUGUGUGGUUGGCUAUUUAUGUGGUAUUUGAAGUCAUUUUAAUUGUUGUUACUGUACUUUUUUAAAAUGAACGCUCGAUAUGAAGACCAAGUUUGUAAUAUAAGAAAUUUGCAGAAAGCAUUUAUAUUUUUGUUUUGCUAUUUCUUGUACUGUUACUGUCUGUUGCACCAAUCUGCAUUGACAUAUAUUGAAUGACCUAUAGGAAGAUUUUAUAUUUUAUUAUUUUUUUAUGUUGUAUAUUUAUUGUAGCUAUUCUUGGUAAGCAACACAUAAGGGAAUGCAUAUGGCAUCAUUUUACUAUUGUAAAGUUUAGAAGUAACAGGGUUAUAGAUAAUGCAUCUCCGACCCCAUGUAUGAAUUGCAUAUGAACACUGGGAAUCCUACUUUACAAAUGCACAAUUUGUCCUUUCUGAAUGAGGUUUAAAAAAAAAAAAAAAAAAUUAUACUGAACCUACUGAAGACUGAACCACUGAAAAUAUAUUGUGUAUAGUCUCAUAAAUAACCUAUCUACUAAUAUUAAUUUUACUGGAUACUAUUCGGUAGCAGAACUCUUUAGUUUUUGGGGUGAGAAAAUGAGCAUCUGUAUCUGUUAACUCCUCCCCCAGCUGCCUCUACUGAAAGCAGAGAGCAUGUAUUAGUACACUUCUUGAACAUUGUUGGUAGCAGUGAAAGCAAAUGGAGUAGCAGCAGCUUAUCAUAAAUAUGCGUUCUAAACACUGAUGCUUUGCUAGCGUACAUAUGAUUGGCUGCUGUAACUCUUACUGACUUCAAUGGGAGCUCGGCCCCUUUUAUGUGAGUGUGCAAUACACACACUAUGCAGUACGUAUACUUCCUUAUUGUACUUCCUGAUUUCCUAGUAGACGCAGCCAGGGGAGGAGUUAAAUGAGACAAAAGUCCUAUUUUCAAAA